Molecule: long non-coding RNA, 547 nt
Organism: Rhipicephalus microplus (southern cattle tick)
Lineage: Eukaryota; Metazoa; Arthropoda; Arachnida; Ixodida; Ixodidae
Source: RefSeq, a predicted model, not a curated record
GUGUAGUGGAAGGCGCUUUCUAAUUUCAAAGAAAGCUUCAGCGUGGUUGCACAGUGUCAUUCGCACAGUGUCAUUGAGAGUGCACAGUGUCAUUUUGACUGCGUAUUUUAUUUAUAAUGAGAAAAACUUCUUGCUUCAAUGCUCUCUUCGUCUUCACGGCGCUCGCACUUCUGCUCUCUCUAGCAUAUAAUGGUGGACCUUCUCCAGCUUUAGCAAUGAAGAUUUCUUUCUUGAAGAGAAAGCCACCUCCUCGACCAAUUCCUCAACGCUAUGGUCCACCUAUAAAGCCUGGACUUCGACUUCAGAGGCAGAAUGCAAUAAGAAGGCGGUACGGACCAUUCUUGCCGGUGAAUGGGAGGCCUCCACUGUAAUGCAGAAAAAAUCUGGCGCUCCAUGCAUAAGACGAUUCAACGAAGAAGGUGAAUGAUGCUUGUCCCUAAAGAGCAUGGGGCAUCCGAGAGAAGGCAGAUCUCUUCAUCAAGAAGUCCGUGAAGUUUUCUUUGUAUUUCUGGUCCUGCUCGAAAUAAAUACGUCAUGGUGUCAUUGA